GGCAAGCUGCCCGCACGCUUCAAGGGGCAUCCUGACCUUGGCAGCUGUGCAAUCUUAGUGGGAAUCUGAAAUGCAAACUUAAGGGUUCCCUGGGAAGUUAGGUGUGUCGGAUGGGGUUUCCGCUAAAGCAGACACGUGAGACAUUUCACGGAAGUGGACACAGGUGACAGGAUGUUCUGCUAAAGCAAGCACACAGACAGACGCGUGAUGAAGGGCUCUUUGCAAACGACGCGGAUGCACUGGUUGGAGUUACACUGAGUAGCUGAGCUCCAUUCGUCGCGACUCCACAGAGAGAAAGGCACCGGAAAACUUCCGGUGGUGUGCUGGCGGCUUCCUGUGGACCCAGUCCGAUCGACUGAUCGAUCGAUCGGCAGAGUGAUGUCAACUGAUACAGACUGUGGAGGUUUGCUAAGACAGACUCACUUGCUGAGGCAGGACACGUGUGUUUGCAGGUGUAUCGAGCUGCUGCCGCCGACCUGUGAACUGAACUGCUGAUUUUCAGACCACGCAGAUGGGAUUGGCUUCAAAGAAGAAUUUCUAAACUGGUCCACUUCCCCGUGUCCUCUCUUUUCCGCUGCCUCCGGGGGAAGGUGGGCUAGUAGGGAGGUUAAAGCCUUUUAGAACCGUCAUUAAAAACAGGGUUUGAAAGUUGAA
Apodemus sylvaticus (European woodmouse) is the source of this 654-nucleotide long non-coding RNA. RefSeq lists it as uncharacterized. The transcript has 2 exons. The record is from RefSeq and is a predicted model, not a curated record. NCBI's taxonomy places the organism in Eukaryota, Metazoa, Chordata, Mammalia, Rodentia, Muridae.